GGGCCAGACUCCUACGGGAGGCAGCAGUGGGGAAUAUUGCACAAUGGGGGAAACCCUGAUGCAGCGACGCCGCGUGAGUGAAGAAGUAUUUCGGUAUGUAAAGCUCUAUCAGCAGGGAAGAAAAUGACGGUACCUGACUAAGAAGCCCCGGCUAACUACGUGCCAGCAGCCGCGGUAGUACGUAGGGGGCAAGCGUUAUCCGGAUUUACUGGGUGUAAAGGGAGCGUAGACGGCGAUGCAAGCCAGAUGUGAAAGCCCGGGGCUCAACCCCGGGACUGCAUUUGGAACUGUGUGGCUGGAGUGUCGGAGAGGCAAGUGGAAUUCCUAGUGUAGCGGUGAAAUGCGUAGAUAUUAGGAGGAACACCAGUGGCGAAGGCGGCUUGCUGGACGAUGACUGACGUUGAGGCUCGAAAGCGUGGGGAGCAAACAGGAUUAGAUACCCUCGUA
RNAcentral lists this ribosomal RNA (447 nucleotides) under uncultured bacterium. Its description in RNAcentral is "bacterial SSU rRNA". It matches the Rfam family "Bacterial small subunit ribosomal RNA", at positions 328 to 792 of the family's 1533-position model. The record is from RNAcentral.